Molecule: ribosomal RNA, 468 nt
Filed under: uncultured bacterium
Lineage: Bacteria
Description: partial 16S ribosomal RNA
Rfam family: Bacterial small subunit ribosomal RNA
Source: RNAcentral
GACGAACGCUGGCGGCGUGCUUAACACAUGCAAGUCGAACGGAAAGGCCCUGCUUUUGUGGGGUGCUCGAGUGGCGAACGGGUGAGUAACACGUGAGUAACCUGCCCUUGACUUUGGGAUAACUUCAGGAAACUGGGGCUAAUACCGGAUAGGAGCUCCUGCUGCAUGGUGGGGGUUGGAAAGUUUCGGCGGUUGGGGAUGGACUCGCGGCUUAUCAGCUUGUUGGUGGGGUAGUGGCUUACCAAGGCUUUGACGGGUAGCCGGCCUGAGAGGGUGACCGGCCACAUUGGGACUGAGAUACGGCCCAGAAUCCGACGGGAGGCAGCAGUGGGGAAUAUUGCACAAUGGGCGGAAGGCUGAUGCAGCAACGCCGCGUGCGGGAUGACGGCCUUCGGGUUGUAAACCGCUUUCGCCUGUGACGAAGCGUGAGUGACGGUAAUGGGUAAAGAAGCACCGGCUAACUACGUG